AUUGAACGCUGGCGGCAGGCCUAACACAUGCAAGUCGAGCGAGCGGCGGACGGGUGAGUACUGUAUGGGGACUGCCCGAUAGAGGGGGAUAACUACUGGAAACGGUAGCUAAUACCGCAUACUAUCGGAUAACCCAUAUGGGAUGAGCUAGUAGGUGGGGUAAAGGCUCACCUAGGGGACGAUCUCUAGAUGGUCUGAGAGUCUGAUCAGCACAACGUGGACUGAGACACGUCCCAGACUCCUACGGAGGCAGCAGUGGCGAAUAUUGCAACAUGGGCGCAAGCCUGAUGCAGCCAUGCCGCGUGUAUGAAGAAGGCCUUAGGGUUGUAAAGUACUUUCAGCGGGGAGGCGUUACCCGCAGAAGAAGCACCGGCUAACUCCGUGCCAGCCGCCGCGGUAAUUC
Molecule: ribosomal RNA, 403 nt
Filed under: uncultured bacterium
Lineage: Bacteria
Description: partial 16S ribosomal RNA
Rfam family: Bacterial small subunit ribosomal RNA
Source: RNAcentral